RNAcentral lists this transfer RNA (66 nucleotides) under Elasmosoma sp. QL-2014. Its description in RNAcentral is "tRNA-Glu". Lineage: Eukaryota; Metazoa; Arthropoda; Insecta; Hymenoptera; Braconidae. The record is from RNAcentral.
AUUUAUAUAGUUUAAAUAAAAUUUUAUAUUUUCAUUAUAAAGAUAAAAAUUUUUUUUUUAUAAAUU